Non-coding RNA from Ascaris lumbricoides (common roundworm), 70 nucleotides. NCBI's taxonomy places the organism in Eukaryota, Metazoa, Nematoda, Chromadorea, Rhabditida, Ascarididae. The record is from Rfam.
GGUCCCGUGGUGUAGGGGAUAGCCCAGGACUCGGAAUCCUGCGACAGGAGUUCAAAUCUCCCCAGGACCU